This 7542-nucleotide unclassified non-coding RNA is filed under the name Hevea brasiliensis (rubber tree). The record is from RNAcentral. Lineage: Eukaryota; Viridiplantae; Streptophyta; Magnoliopsida; Malpighiales; Euphorbiaceae.
AUUAGCUUUGCCCUCGAGAAUCGGCGCUGGAAUUCUGAGAAAACCCACCCUGAGCUUACGCUCGCAAAAACCGUAAACCCCUAAACCCUCCCUUGUUUUUCACUCUCAUUUCAUAUCUUCUUCUCUCUUUGCCCAAUUUCAGAAAACGAUCUCCGUUCACUGAAUCAACAGCUGCAAAAUACCAACCAAUCUUUAUCAUUUAGAAUUGGAUUCGAGAUAUGAAAGAAGAAGAUGCAGGUCCACCAAAGAGAGAGCUUUACGCGGUGCUGCAAGUGUCGCCGGAGGCUACCGAUGAAGAAAUUAGAAAGGCUUAUCGCCACUGGGCCCAAGUCUAUCACCCUGACAAAUACCAAGACCUCCAUGUAUGCCCGUAAUUAAUGAAUGUGUACGAAGUCGAGUUUUGUUCAUUGCACUGUUGAUUCUUCUUAAUUUAUUUAUUUAUUUUAAAUUUUACUUAUUCGAGAUGUAUUGGUUCGUGUGUUUGUUAGCAGUGAUAAAAGUGGAGGGUGUAAUUAACUUGUUGUAUUCGAGGCAUUGCAGGUUUAGUUUUUGCUUAACUUGUUGAAUUAUGUUUCUGUUGCUUUAAGCUAAGAAGAACAAUUUUGAGUGUAGAAACGCUCAACCAAUUUCACUAGUUGCUUAAAGAACCUGGCAAGAAAUGUAAAGGGAGUUGAAGAAAAGUAAAAUGUUUCUCUGACCUAAUAUUUUUUUUCUAAUUACUUUUGACUUGCCCAAUGUGACAUGAGCUUAUUGAUAUAUCAUUCAGCAGUCACCAAUGAAUUCGGAUAGCGCUUGUUUGAUCAUAAACAAUUAAGUUCAUGCGUGUUCAUGUGUUCAUGUAUUCAGCAUUAUAAUAUAAGCAUUGAGUGGAGACCUUCUUAUACAUUAUAUAUUCUUAUGGUUUAGUAAUUGUAGACGUCCAUGUUCUUUCAUUCUAAAAUCGGAUAGACUGACUUGAACCAAUUAGUUGACUAAUGACAGUUAUUCACAUCUUCAUCCCUACUAGAUGGUUUUGACUUUGUUUAAGCAGUCAUUUUUUUGUCCCUUAUAAAUUGCACAUGUAAAUUUUUCAUGGCAAUGAAGUGGUAGAAUUACUAUGCCUUCCAUAUCUGUCCAUAUAGCUCCUUCAUGUCCCAUUUUGAUCCCUAAAAUGCAUGAUUUCCAUGGAUUCAUAUUCAUGGUUCUAAUUUCAGAAAUUUACCUCUUUGUUUCUUACCUCCUUUUUGGAUGCUUGUACUCAGAUGAAGGAAAUAGCUACACAAAAUUUUCAACGGAUAUGUGAGGCAUAUGAAGUAUUAUCGGAUGAGAAUAAAAGGCAAAUAUAUGACAUAUAUGGUAUGGAAGGUUUAACUUCAGGUUUGGAACUAGGUCCAAAGCUGAACAAACCAGAGGAGUUAAAGGAAGAACUUGAAAGGUUAAGACGAAAGAAAGAACAAGAAAAAAUGGCAGCACAUUUCCGACCAUCUGGUACAAUAUUGGCGAACUUAUCCUUGCCAAAGUUUCUGGAUGGUGAUGGCAUAAUGAGAGGAAUGGCUAUGUCUAGUGAAGUUCAUUCCAAAUUAUCAAAACACAAUACUAUUGCUAUUGGAGGAAAUUUGGAAGUUCAAGAAAGUUCUGGGGGUGCAGCGGCUAGUGCUGUGCUUAGGCAUCAGCUUUCUUCAGUUUCCUCCAUAGAAUUCAUAGCCUCAGCUGGUUUGCGAGCACUUAUUGGAGUGCAAACUACACGUCGCUUAUCUUUACACUCAACAGCAACAAUUACCAUUGCAAAGUCUUUGCGAGAUGGUUCAAUCAAUCUUUCCAAUUCUUGGACUCGGCAACUAUCUGAAACAGCAAAUGGAAAUAUACAGCUUUUUUUAGGUCCUGAAUCAUCUUUAGCAGUUGGAUGGCAGAAGAAGGAUGAAAAGAUGUCUGCUGCUGGAGAGUUGAAGAUUGGUACAAGUUCUUUUGGAGCAUCAGCUCAUUACACUCGUCAUUUUUCAUCAGUUUCUCAUGGUCGUAUUGCAGGCAGAUUUGGGAGCACUGCUCUGGAGAUUGAAGUUGGUGGUGGAAGAAAAGUAUCCAACUUCAGCACUGUCAGGAUGCUGUAUACAAUAGGAAUUCAGGGCAUCUUUUGGAAAUUUGAAUUGCAUCGUGGUGGACAAAAGUUGAUUAUUCCUAUAUUGCUUUCCAAGCAUUUGAAUUUGACUUUUGCAACGGGAGCAUUCCUAAUUCCUACAUCACUUUACUUUUUACUCAAGGUUAUUACUGAUGCUGCACUGUUAUUCUUCACUUGUAAGCUUGACAAGUUGGCUGUCUGAUUGUUGUUUUAGCUUCAUUUCCAUUUCAAAGAAAUUAGAGUUAUCGCAAAGAUGUCAGCUGAAUUAGAUAUGCUCAUUUAAAGUUCUCCUUAAGUUGAUGUAUACUCAGUUGAGCUCUGUCCCCUUUGUUCUUUGUUUCUUUCUUCCCCAGUUCAUCAGGAGCCCAAUAGGUUUUGUGUUGCACAACAUCCGUAUCACAUGAACCUUUCACCUUUCAUUCAAUUUGGGUUUUCUACAAUCCCCAAGUCAGCAUUCCAAGUUUAAACCAUUUAACUGUCCCUGUUGAGACACCCCUGUUUAUUUCUGUAGCUUAAUUUCAUUUCUUGAAUGAACAAUGUUUUUCCUUAUUCAUUUUCUGAUGUUUCUUUUUUUUUUUUUAUUGAAAUAUAAUUAAAUUCUCAAAUGUGCACGAGGUAUAAUUCUUGGCUUAAUGCGCAUGUCUUCCUAUUUUGUAUAAUAACCAUGGCUUGUGGAGAGUUGGGUACUUACUGUGACAGGAAGAUUUCAUUUUCAAGGUAUUUGGAUUGUACCUUUUUACAUUUGAUGAAAAUUUUGUAUCCCUUGAGUGAAAAGUUGGACUGAAUGUGUUCAGGUGGCUAUUUCUCAUGUCAAGCUAUCUUUGGCAACAUAAUUCAUUUAACACACAGCUUUUCCAUAGUGGUGAUCAUUGGCUUUUGCAUCUCAUUAUGAUGGGAUUCAUGUUCAUAAAUUGGCACUAUUUUUGCUUUUGUUAAUUUUUGCUGGAGGCCUUGGUCAUCACUUGACCAACAAACCCAACUUAGUUUUUUGGAAAUGUUUGUCAAAGUAGUCCUCCAAGUUAAUUGAAGUGUUUGAGCUUAGAAUUUGUGUCUUCAUCAUUGUUAAUUGUAUAUAAAUCUUCUAUGCAUGCAGAAAUUUGUGGUCAAACCUUACUACCUUCAAAGGGAAAAGCGGAAGGCUUUAGAGAAUAAAGAGAAAACUUCUGCCCAGGUACAAGAGGCAAGGGCAGCAGCAGAAAAAGCUCAACAGUUGUUACAAAAUGUGGCCAAUAGGAAAAGAAAUAGGCAAGUAGAAACAAAUGGAUUGAUUAUUACUAAAGCAGUGUAUGGAAGUGAAAAAGCUUUGAAGAAAGGAGAAGUAUUAAAAGAAGUAAAUGAUGAAUUAGCUUCUGAAGUCAUUGAUGUUACAGUGCCUCUAAAUUUCCUGGUUAAUGAUUCUGGGCAAUUGAAGCUUCAUGAGGGUGUAAAAAAGUCGGGCAUCAUGGGCUUCUGUGAUCCUUGUCCUGGAGAACCUAAGCAAUUAUAUGUGGAGUACACUUAUGGCGGCCAAAUAUUUGAGGUCAUGGUGGACGAUUACACAGCGUUGUCAAUGCCCCAAGAAUCCCAUAGGGUAUAAUUUUCACUAAUGCUUUAAUUGAAGACGCUGGUUGCCUCUUGCAAUUUUUGGGCAUGCCUCACGAGGUAACUGCUAUAUAGAUGAUGAUGACUCUACUCGUUUGGAAUUACAUGUCAAAUAAGGACACUUAUUUUUCUGGUGUAACUUGUCCUAACAAAAUCUUUCUAGGAUUUUUCUUUUUUCUUUUUUUAUAUAAAAAAUUUAUUGCAAAACAUUAAUCUUUUUGUCGUGAUUUGCUGCUGACCCACGUUCAGUUUUUGUUGGUCGUGAAAUGGUGGGUGAAGAGCUUGACCUUUGCCAUGCACAGUUGGUUUUGGAUUUGGAAGGGACACGCCAUACUGCUUCCAUAAUUUCAUCAAACUAGCUAGUUCCAACUAUGUUUACCCCCUUUUUCGUUGCAAGAUUCCAUUUAAAUUACAGUAGCAAAAAAUGAAUAGCCGUUGAUAACCCUGGAAGGUCAGAAAAUACCUAGUUCGUGUAACUUGACACAUUUUUAUUUUAAUUCAAAACAGGGAUAUGAACUGGUAACUUAUUUUGACAUUUUAACCAAGGUAAAAUAAUCCAUAAUAAUCCAUGAAGAUGAGAACCAAUUAAUUCAUUCUGUUAAGAAACAAGAGGACAAGCCUCAUAGUUUUGCCACUUGCACAUACGGAACACCAGCUCAAUUUUUUGUAUCAUUCUCUAGCGUUUUAGGAUGCCAAAGGGUUGUCCUUGUAUUUCAUCACCCAUGGACGCUAGGUAUUAGUGUUUUUCCAAUAGAUCCUGGUGAUUCUCAUUUUCAUUUUUAUCAGAAAUUGCAUUUGGUAAAGAUACAAACAUUGACGUAAAACCCAAACGUGUCUACUGCAAUGCAAAAUACUCUCUUAGGGUACAUUACGCUGCAUGAUCACCAAGCAUCUUUAAAAGCGACAAUGCUUAUGUGAAAGCAUGGCUUAUGGAAAGUUCGCCACUUGAUGGAUCAAAAGAUGCUUCGAUUACUGCAUAUCGAUAUUCACUAGCAGUUGAUCCAUUUGUUUUGACUGCCACUGGCUGUGCAAGAAGUUUCACCCCUUGCUUCCAGUAUCUCUCAUCUGCAUACAUAAUAUAACAUGAUAAGAAAAACAAUUAAUUACUUCGACUUUUAUUCUUUGAAAAAGGUUGCAUGGUACAAAUUUGAAGGGCAAGGGAGGUAAAGCAGCUGUGAUAGGCAUGUCAAGUUCCAAUUGAACUUCACUGACUGAAUAAUAAAGUAUACCUGGCCCAGUAGAUAACACCACAGAAUUGCUUGCAUCCAUUACCCAGUCAAUCCAUAGCACAAAUCCAUGGCACACCCCAGUCUCAGAAAAGUCAACCUGCGAAAAGUGCAAGUAUAUGCUAGGGAUACAAUAUAACCAUAUGCAAGGCAACCAUCCAUUUUCAUUGCUAGAUCAAUUAGACUUUUUCUUUUUUUCCUUCCUUUUAUGGUUGAGCUUAUUAAUCUAUAAUUACUAUUUUUAUUAUUUUACACUAGAAGUCUGUAAACUGACAUAGCAUACGUAUCAAGAUCAGUAAUAGCUAAAACCUAACAACAGCCAUUUGAAUCCCACAUAAAGCAUUUUAUAAAAAUAGAAAUACUUUUUCAUAUAUAGUCAUGUGCCCAUUCUCACAUAUUUCACAACCACAAUAAAUUUCUUUUGUAUUUGAUAACUAGAUUAAAGAUCUUAUCCAGGAUCAGUAUUACAGCAGAUAAGAGAGAAAAAUUUAAUACCUGGACUUUUCCAUAACAUGGACUUAUUGGUUUUGAGAAUUCAAACUCCAUGAUUGUCAAUCUCUCACUGAGUUCCUAAAAUUUCCAAUAUAGUUGCAUCAGUAACACAAAGUAGCCAUCAUUCUAGUCUUCUAGAAAACCAUCUUUCCAUAAACAGUAACUUUCUGUAAUUAAUUACCUUAAUCUCUCCACAUUGCCAGAUAAAAAAAGGCAGAAGUGGAGGAUCAUGUGGUGGAGGUAAUUCACCACAUGCCCCUAAGGUGGUAUUUACAAUAGAAUGAUCAAAGCCUUCAAUCUUACUUAAGCAGCAGCGGCUAUUCCAUAGAUCUGGAAGUGACAUGGCACAAGCCUUCAGUAAUGCUUUACAGGGCAUUAUUAAGACAUCAUUGGAGAGGACAGAGUCCAACACAGUCCUUUCCUUCCAAAAUCGCAGGUUUUGCCACGGAAGCAUUCCAUCAUUUCCAUAAUAGUAUGGCUCUCCAAUCAACAGAUCAACCUUCUUCUGAUUAGUAUCAUGCAGAGUUAAACAUUUCUUAUUUUGGAAAACUUUUACACGAUCAGCAGUGAAACCAUUUGCAUCAGCGACUCUCUGCAGAUAUUUGACACCCAUCUCUCGCAACCCAGGAAACAAAGAUAUCACAUGUGCAGUUUUUGAAAGAUUUGCAACAAUAAGUGUUAGAAAAAUACUAUCAUCUGCAACAACACACAAUGGUUGAACUCUUUCCUGCAAGGCAUUUCUUAGAGCUGUUAACAUGGAAAACCUCCAUUUACUAUCUCCAUAGAUUGCAAUCCUCUCAGGAGGUAGUAUAAGGUGAAAAUCCCCAGAGACAUGGUUAUACUGCCCCAACUCAGUAUGUUCGGUUGCAAGAUUAUAGAAGACACUGGUAUCAGUAUGAAUAGCACGAAAAAGAAGUUGCUCACCCUUGCCUACACAUAUGCCUUUCCCUGGAAGGAACCACACACAUUGCUUUUGUUAUCCAUCGAGGGGCAGUGGAAUAAAAGAUUGUCCCUUCAUGAUCAAGCUGCAGCAUCCACCAUGAUAAUAUAGCAUGAACUCUACCAUCAUCAAUGGCCUUGAUGAGCAGCUCAGAUUCCCGAUGGCUGUCUGGUCGUUUCCAGAAGUCAAAUUCAAAAAUUUUGAAGGGUUCUGACAGCUGGAUGAAUCCUAAGUUGAGUGGGACUUAAACCACUUGUAUUCCCCAAGAUGUCAGUAGAAAAGUGAUUAUUGUCAUUACCAGUUUUAUUUCUUUUGAGAUUGCAUCACAGUGCAUGGGAUGUUGCUGCAAUUUGACACGUAAAAUAGUAUCCAUGCCAGUUGGAAGAAGACGAACGCCAUCUGAUGCUUUUGCUUCAUGAUCAUAUAAAUCAUGCAGCUUCCACAGGAAUGUACUUUCAACCAGCUGGCCAUACGUUGUCGCUCGAUAUGGUACAGUUAGUGGAUUUUCCACCAGCAGCAUGUCAUGUGCAUGUUGCAGAGUCGGAAUUAACCCUUCACCCAGUAACUCUGAGUCUAGUAUCUCACUAACCAGAACAUCUGCACGCGAAGGAAUGUCCACACCGACUUUGAGUUCAUCAGAGCGCCUGCUGAUUACAUUUAUGUUCCUACCCAUACUAUUGAGGUGCAGAACUUUUCGCAUCAAUUUUACCAUUGGAAGAUAAGACUCGCAAGCUGUUACCAUCCCCUUGGUAUCGGCAGAAGUUGGCUCACCAGAACCCAUUGCCCGUGCAGCCAUCAUUGACAGCAACCCAGUUCCAGCACCAAUGUCCAGCACAUGGCAAGGUUUCGUUAUAGUCUUGUCGAUAGCGUCCCGGAAUGCUCUGUUUCUCGUGGAGUCAUUGAGCAUGUCCAAAUAUGACGUCGUAGCCAAGAGAUUCUUAUGGGAAUUUCCGAAGGCUUCUUCUUCGUCUUCUCUGAUUACAACCCACUCUGAGUUACCCGUGAGGGGGUCGACCUUGAGCUGGAAAACUUGCUGUGAUGACUCGGAGCUCAUGGGUCGGACUCUAGUGAAUGGUUUUGAGUGAGAAGUCAGAGCAAAUUGGGCUAUGCGGAGUAGAGAAGAAGAGGGGUCUAUUAGGGCUUUGAAUAUUAGAGAAAUCAUUAGAAUGAUUGUGAAGUCAGAAGUGAUCGCCGGAUGGAUGGUGACG